RNAcentral lists this ribosomal RNA (323 nucleotides) under uncultured eukaryote. RNAcentral's name for it is "partial 18S ribosomal RNA". It matches the Rfam family "Eukaryotic small subunit ribosomal RNA", at positions 1470 to 1796 of the family's 1831-position model. The record is from RNAcentral.
CCCUUAGAUGUUCUGGGCCGCACGCGUGCUACACUGAGUGGAUCAGCGGGUCAGGUUACGCGAAAGUGUUUCCUAAUCUUGAAAUCCGCUCGUGAUGGGGAUUGACGGUUGCAAUUUUCCGUCAUGAACGGGGAAUACCUUGUAAGCGCGGGUCAUCAUCCCGCGCUGAAUACGUCCCUGCCCUUUGUACACACCGCCCGUCGCUCCUACCGAUUGAAUGAUCCGAUGAAUAUCAUGGAUUGAGGAUGCAAGCAGGUUCGCCUGUCUUCAUCUUCGAGAAGUGAAGUAAAUCUUAUCAUUUAGAGGAAGGAGAAGUCGUAACA